Calypte anna (Anna's hummingbird) is the source of this 370-nucleotide long non-coding RNA. RefSeq lists it as uncharacterized. The record is from RefSeq and is a predicted model, not a curated record. Lineage: Eukaryota; Metazoa; Chordata; Aves; Apodiformes; Trochilidae. The transcript has 3 exons.
GCCGCUUCUGUCUCGUUUCUCAGCAGCUUCGGGAAUGGCCAUUGAUGAGAAGAUUUGGGAGUGGUGACAGUGUGUGCAUCUUUACAGACUGUGCCCACCCAUCCCAGGAGCUGGUGUGUCAGCAGAACAGUGAAAGUGGCAGCACACAACAUUUUGAAAUUCAACAAGCUUAGGAGGUCAGAACAUUGGGGAUGAAAAAAGCCUGAGAAGCCCUGGCAGCACGGGGAUGGAGGGAGUGUCUCAGCCUGGGGAAUAUGGAAGUGCCUGGUCACAAAGCACUACAAAUAGUGACACCUGCAUCCCUGUUUUCUGUUAGCUUCUGUUUGCAUUAUCUGAGACUGCUAAUAGAAAACCACUCUGGAGCUGGUGG